This 587-nucleotide ribosomal RNA is filed under the name uncultured bacterium. Its description in RNAcentral is "partial 16S ribosomal RNA". It matches the Rfam family "Bacterial small subunit ribosomal RNA", at positions 355 to 1375 of the family's 1533-position model. The record is from RNAcentral.
UGGGGAAUUUUGGACAAUGGGCGAAAGCCUGAUCCAGCAAUGCCGCGUGUGUGAAGAAGGCCUUCGGGUUGUAAAGCACUUUUGUCCGGAAAGAAAUCCUUGGCUCUAAUACAGUCGGGGGAUGACGGUACCGGAAGAAUAAGCACCGGCUAACUACGUGCCAGCAGCCGCGGUAAUACGUAGGGUGCAAGCGUUAAUCGGAAUUACUGGGCGUAAAGCGUGCGCAGGCGGUUUGCUAAGACCGAUGUGAAAUCCCCGGGCUCAACCUGGGAACUGCAUUGGUGACUGGCAGGCUAGAGUAUGGCAGAGGGGGGUAGAAUUCCACGUGUAGCAGUGAAAUGCGUAGAGAUGUGGAGGAAUACCGAUGGCGAAGGCAGCCCCCUGGGCCAAUACUGACGCUCAUGCACGAAAGCGUGGGGAGCAAAACAGGAUUAGAUACCCUGGUAGUCCACGCCCUAAAACGAUGUCAACUAGUUGUUGGGGAUUCAUUUCCUUAGUAACGUAGCUAACGCGUGAAGUUGACCGCCUGGGGAGUACGAUCGCAAGAUUAAAACUCAAAUGAAUUGACGGGGUCAUAGCUGUUUCCU